Molecule: long non-coding RNA, 318 nt
Filed under: Equus caballus (horse)
Lineage: Eukaryota; Metazoa; Chordata; Mammalia; Perissodactyla; Equidae
Description: lncRNA (ENSECAG00000053209.1)
Source: RNAcentral
GUGCCUGCAGUGUGCCAGGCGGUGAUGUUGGCUCUGAGGAUACAGCAGAGAAAGACUGAAAUGGAGCUGUUGGAGCAGGCAUUUGAUGGAGAGAGGAGGAAUAAAAUCUCGUUGAAGCUCUUCUUGGCCCACUACUGGAACCAGUUGUUUGGCAGACUAUAGGUGUCACUGCUGCACAUGUCAUGGAUCAUGGGAAAUCAUGCUUAUUGCCUUCUUUCAUGAAAAGGUCCUCUGACUCCCGUGGCACCAUCCAUUCCACGCCAUCCCCCGGACCAAAUGCUAGCAAUAAAUAAUGCUUCUUUCCCCUUUAGUAAUUUU